RNAcentral lists this transfer-messenger RNA (385 nucleotides) under Nostocaceae. RNAcentral describes it as "Scytonema bouteillei Standard tmRNA". It matches the Rfam family "transfer-messenger RNA". Rfam says of the family: Bacterial tmRNA, also known as 10Sa RNA or SsrA, is named for its dual tRNA and mRNA-like properties. The record is from RNAcentral. RNAcentral also lists the same sequence under 5 other names. Lineage: Bacteria; Bacillati; Cyanobacteriota; Cyanophyceae; Nostocales.
GGGUCCGUAACGGUUUCGACGUGGUGGCGAAAGCUGCUCUAUGAUUCAGGUCGAGAGUGAGUCUCCUCUCGAAAAUCAAGGCUCAAAAAAAUAGAUGCAAACAACAUCGUACCUUUUGCUCGUAAGCACGCUACUGUAGCUGCCUAAUAACCUCUAACUGGUUCGAGCGCUUCUGGUCUGACUCCGUUAAAGGCUAGAGGCAAACCCCAACGGAUGCGCUAACAGCAUUCCUCUGGUUAACUGUUGGCUAAGACUCAACCAGAGCAUCCUACCGUUCGGGAUAAAGAACGUUCCCCGCCCUAAGGGUAAAAAGGGCUAAGCCUGUGAAUGAGUGGGGAGUCAAUACCCAUUGCGGACAGCAGUUCGACUCUGCUCGGAUCCACUA